CAAAUCAAAUGAAAUAAUACUAAUUAAUUACUUAAGUACUUAACGUUUUAUUCCUUAACAUAGAAAGACAAAAAAGGCACUCAAAAAGUUCAUACAAGUUAUUGCACUACAAAACAAGGGUCUCCUCCUUUACAUAGGUCACCAUUUUUAUUUCAUUACAUGCCUGCUUAAAACUAGAAAAUUUCACAUUAGUCCGUAAACACGAGACUAUGUGGUUAUUAUUGCCUCUAACUCUUUAUUCAGAUGCACGCUGCCUCUGUCGAGACACGAAGUAAGACUCUUGUGGGUUGUUGUUGAAUAUCUCAUCCACCAACCUCGAUGACACCCCAAAGGCCAACUCCUUGGCUUGGCUAUCCCAUUGUCUCACAUGGUUGAUUUUCCCAGCCACGAAGAUCCUCUGGUUAUGGUCUGGGUUAAUGUUCUGGUUGUAAAGACCGAACCCAGUCAUCCGCAGGUUCUGGUUUUGGGAUGCAACGAAUGUAACUGGGAAGUUUGCUGGGACUACAAAUAUGUCUCCACGCGACAACUGGGACCUUAUUUUCCUGUAUUGCCCACUUCUCCUUUCCUCUUCUUGUUCUUGUUCUUGUUGUUGUUCUUCUUCUU
This 603-nucleotide long non-coding RNA is filed under the name Gossypium barbadense (sea-island cotton). RNAcentral describes it as "long non-coding RNA (GBAR_LNC008618)". Lineage: Eukaryota; Viridiplantae; Streptophyta; Magnoliopsida; Malvales; Malvaceae. The record is from RNAcentral.